ACAGCCCAAACCUUUUUUCCUACG
This 24-nucleotide non-coding RNA is filed under the name Arabidopsis thaliana (thale cress). The record is from RNAcentral. Lineage: Eukaryota; Viridiplantae; Streptophyta; Magnoliopsida; Brassicales; Brassicaceae.